Molecule: ribosomal RNA, 253 nt
Filed under: uncultured bacterium
Lineage: Bacteria
Description: partial 16S ribosomal RNA
Rfam family: Bacterial small subunit ribosomal RNA
Source: RNAcentral
UACGUAGGGUGCAAGCGUUAAUCGGAAUUACUGGGCGUAAAGCGUGCGCAGGCGGUUUUGUAAGCCAGAUGUGAAAUCCCUGGGCUUAACCUGGGAAUGGCACUUGGGACUGCAAGGCUUGAGUGCGGCAGAGGAGACUGGAAUUCCUGGUGUAGCAGUGAAAUGCGUAGAUAUCAGGAGGAAUACCGAUGGCGAAGGCAGGUCUCUGGGCUGACACUGACGCUCAUGCACGAAAGCGUGGGGAGCAAACAGG